AUUAAAGGAUUUUAUGUAUUUUUUCAAUGAGGGUUUUUCCUUUCAUCACUCUCUCUCCAAAAUAUAUUCUCUUUUUUCUCUCUCUAGCCUUUGGGUGCGGGUGACGAAAAGCCGCUAACGGAAAGUGUCCAAAAUGUUGACAAAAUUCAGGAGCCAUCAAGAACUUGAAAAUCGAAAUCGGCCUGACCAAACCGACCCCUGCAUUUCUCGGGCAUGAGUAGACGAUGACAGAGUUCGAAAUUCGGCAGCAGAAGCAACCGAGCAUCUUCUGAACUCU
RNAcentral lists this long non-coding RNA (277 nucleotides) under Eucalyptus grandis. RNAcentral describes it as "long non-coding RNA (EGRA_LNC007053)". Lineage: Eukaryota; Viridiplantae; Streptophyta; Magnoliopsida; Myrtales; Myrtaceae. The record is from RNAcentral.